Small nucleolar RNA from Hippopotamus amphibius kiboko, 108 nucleotides. RefSeq annotates it as small nucleolar RNA SNORA26. The transcript has a single exon. Lineage: Eukaryota; Metazoa; Chordata; Mammalia; Artiodactyla; Hippopotamidae. The record is from RefSeq and is a predicted model, not a curated record.
AUCUCUUUCUAAGAAAAUCAAAAGGAUUAAGGCUAACAUAGAAGGGUAAAGUAAGUCUCCAUAAAACCCAGAGAACAGAUUGUAAAAAUUCUGUCUGGAGUCACAGCU